Molecule: non-coding RNA, 1234 nt
Organism: Cinara cedri
Lineage: Eukaryota; Metazoa; Arthropoda; Insecta; Hemiptera; Aphididae
Source: the annotation of a GenBank genome assembly
CGCGGGCCCCCCAGCAACAUAGCCACGGCUCCCAGUUUGAGAAGCACUGAUAUAGAGUCGAAUCUAUUAACCUUGUUUUCGACGGGGAAGCCGAAACAAUGGUUGCAAGAUGUCCGAUUCUGUUAUCAUUAUCGACUAUCACAGACUUCAUUAUCAGUAUUAAUUAUAAAUCGGUAAUAUUUUUCGAGCAUUGACGACUGUUCGGUCACGUAUAGAUAUACCCAUAUGCGCCUGUAGCCUGUUGUAUUUCGGCCGCCGUUGAACUCCGGUCGACCACAGAAUCGUGUAUAAUCUGCGCUUCUGACGCACGUCGAAACGUCAUUCAGACAAUUCCGUAGCGUUUUAUGAUUAUUUAAUAACGCAACGUUUUUGUGGUGUUUUGCGUUCAACACACGGCAAACGUGUUCGCUGGCCCAAAGCCCACCGGCGGCCACCAUUGCAUGAUCAGAACCUUGAAAGGUAAGUUUGACACAGCGGCGUCGCAGGACCUGAGCGAUCGUUACCCGUCUUGUUUUUACGUAUUUACAACUUAACGAAACGUACGAAAUGCGCUCCUCUCUGUAUAGUCUUCCCGCCCGUACAUAUUGAGUGUAACUCGUUUUAUACCCAGUGGGCCCCAUUUGUUCCGUACGUUCCGUAGGUGUCAAAUGAAACGCAAAUACCCUUUAUACGGUCGAUGAACGUGGUGCCCAUUGCUUGAACAGCAAAGUAUCCAUGGCACAGACCAGUAAUUGAUAACGUGUAUGGACGUCAACGAUCCUACUCUGUGGUCUGCACAAGCGCCACUAGACCACCGACUCGGGGGGUGCUGAAAUUAUAGACAAAUCAAACACCCAUGGGGGCUAUGCUUCUAUAAUCCCCUUUACAUGACUAACAAUAAUUAGCUACACCUUUCAUUUACAAUUUUGUAUGUACAAAUUUAUCGUGACAAUUUUAACAUUGUUUUUCACAAACACAUGAAACUUGUAUUUUGUUCUGCUCAUUAACCAUGAAAUACAUGGACAAAUAUUUUAUCAUUGCUAUGGAAAAACUAAUUGGGUUUUUUGGGAGUGCUGGUUUUAAACUUGGAGGUGCUAAAACACUCAUAGCAUCCCCUCCCCCAAGUUUCGCCUAUGAAUUGAUCUGGUUGUUUGACUGUGACCAGCAUAGAUAUCUAUGGUGGCCGCAUAAAUGCCACUAGAGCAUUAUUUCUGGGUGUGCUAAAUUUCUAUAUCAUUGACUUAUGGAGGCUUCA